AAUGCUUAGGAAUCUGCCUUUAGUGGGGGACAACUUUCCGCCUGGAAUGCUAAUACCGCAUACCCCCUACGAGGGAAAGAUCGGGAUCUUGGACCUUGCGCUAAUACCUGAGCCUAACUCGAAUUAGCUAGUUGGAGGGGUAAAGGCCUACCACGGCGACGAUCUGUCAUGGGUCUGAUAUGAUGAUCCGCCUUCUGGGACUGACACUUUGCCCAAACUCCUACCGAAGGGAAUUAUGGCUAAUAUUGGACGAUGGUUGCUCGCCUGAUCCACCCCUGCCACGUGUGUGACAAAAGCCUUUUGGUUGUAAAGCACUUUAAGCGAGGACGAAUUUACUUGGAUUAAUACUCUAGGAUAGUGGACGUUACUCGCAGAAUGAAACCGGCUAACUCUGUGCCAGAAGCCGCGGUAUACUGAGGGUGCGAGCGUUAAUCGAGAUUUACUGGGCGUAAAGCGUGCGUAGGCGGCUUCUUAAAUCGGAUGUGAAAUCCCUGAGCUUAACUUAGGAAUCUGAUUCAAUACUGAGGCUCUAGAGUAAGGGAGAGGAUGGUAGAAUUCAUUGUGUAGCGGGAAAUGCAUGCCGUUCUGGAG
RNAcentral lists this ribosomal RNA (591 nucleotides) under uncultured bacterium. Its description in RNAcentral is "bacterial SSU rRNA". It matches the Rfam family "Bacterial small subunit ribosomal RNA", at positions 112 to 704 of the family's 1533-position model. The record is from RNAcentral.